AACGAACGCUGGCGGCAUGCCUAACACAUGCAAGUCGAACGAGACCUUCGGGUCUAGUGGCGCACGGGUGCGUAACGCGUGGGAGCCUGCCCUUAGGUUCGGAAUAACUCCCCGAAAGGGGUGCUAAUACCGGAUAAUGUCUUCGGACCAAAGAUUUAUCGCCUUUGGAUGGGCCCGCGUUGGAUUAGCUAGUUGGUAGGGUAAAAGCCUACCAAGGCGACGAUCCAUAGCUGGUCUGAGAGGAUGAUCAGCCACACUGGGACUGAGACACGGCCCAGACUCUUACGGGAGGCAGCAGUGGGGAAUAUUGGACAAUGGGCGAAAGCCUGAUCCAGCAAUGCCGCGUGAGUGAUGAAGGCCUUAGGGUUGUAAAGCUCUUUUACCCGGGAUGAUAAUGACAGUACCGGGAGAAUAAGCUCCGGCUAACUCCGUG
Molecule: ribosomal RNA, 433 nt
Filed under: uncultured bacterium
Lineage: Bacteria
Description: partial 16S ribosomal RNA
Rfam family: Bacterial small subunit ribosomal RNA
Source: RNAcentral